CCGCGGGAUUAGAGUUUGAUCCUGGCUCAGGAUGAACGCUAUCGGCAGGCCUAAUACAUGCAAGUCGGACGGGAUUCCCGACCUCGGUUGGGAUGAGAGUGGCGCACGGGUGCGUAACACGUAUGUAACCUACCUUUGUCAGGGGGAUAGCCUCUCGAAAGAGAGAUUAAGCCCGCAUAAAAUGAAGACACAGCAUUGUGAUUUCAUCAAAUAUUUAUAGGACGGAGAUGGGCAUGCGGAACAUUAGCUAGUUGGUAAGGUAAUGGCUUACCAAGGCUACGAUGUUUAGGGGAUCUGAGAGGAUGACCCCCCACACUGGUACUGAGACACGGACCAGACUCCUACGGGAGGCAGCAGUAAGGAAUAUUGGUCAAUGGGCGGAAGCCUGAACCAGCCAUGCCGCGUGCAGGAAGACGGCCCUACGGGUUGUAAACUGCUUUUGUGCCAGAAUAAACCUCAGGUCGUGACCUGGGCUGAAAGUAUGGUAAGAAUAAGGAUCGGCUAACUCCGUGCCAGCAGCCGCGGUAAUACGGAGGAUCCGAGCGUUAUCCGGAUUUAUUGGGUUUAAAGGGUGCGUAGGCGGCCUGUUAAGUCAGGGGUGAAAGACGGUAGCUUAACUAUCGCAGUGCCUUUGAUACUGAUGGGCUUGAAUGUACUAGAGGUAGGCGGAAUGUGACAAGUAGCGGUGAAAUGCAUAGAUAUGUCACAGAACACCAAUUGCGAAGGCAGCUUACUAUGGUAUGAUUGACGCUGAGGCACGGAAGCGUGGGGAUCAAACAGGAUUAGAUACCCUGGUAGUCCACGCCCUAAACGAUGAAUACUCGAUGUUAGC
This 832-nucleotide ribosomal RNA is filed under the name uncultured Bacteroidota bacterium. RNAcentral describes it as "bacterial SSU rRNA". It matches the Rfam family "Bacterial small subunit ribosomal RNA", at positions 1 to 827 of the family's 1533-position model. Lineage: Bacteria; Pseudomonadati; Bacteroidota. The record is from RNAcentral.